AUAUAUAUCUAAAAUAUAUAUUUUCUCAAGUUUGCAUUGUCAGUUAGAGAUACAGUGUUGUCCCCUCGCCUGUCCCAUAAGUUUGGUGACUUAUCGACAACAAUCCACGUACCAACUGACUAUAUCAGUACCAACAAUGAGGGAGGGAGCAGGGAGAGAGGGAGGGAGGGAACAAAGAGGGAAAUACUCUCUCACAUACAGGAGGUGCAUGCCAUGCAUACACAUGCAACAUGCGUAAGUCCCCUUGCACAAACGUUUCAAGACAAUUCAGUUGGCAAAAACUAGAGGCUGAAGACUGCGACUACCAUCAGUCCACACUGAAAUACAUCACUGUCCUACCUUCAAAUCAGCAGUGUAUAUGAUUGAACCUAAUUAAGACAAGCUUAGAACCUGUCUUGCUCUGUUGUGUUGGUUUGUGACCGUUGGUGUCCCUGAAACAUAGAGAGAGGUUCCCUCUCCCACAGAUGCUGUGGAGCUCGUGUAACAGAGGGGGAAAAAAGCUCACUCUACAGCACGCUUCAAAUGUCUCGGCUGGGGCCACUCAAGAAGGACAUCUUAAGUGGCUCAAUCAGUUGGUAACGUUGUCAAGCAGGGUGGCCACGUGUGCUGCGACGCAGAACCUUGGUUCAAGCCAGCAGUUAGACAGCGGGGAGGGUAACUGUUAGCAGCACACUGACCUGUGAAACUGGCACUGCAGCUGGUAUAGACAAUUGAUACAGUAUGCCGCACUCAAAUCCGGCUCUGCAAUCAACAGAUGCUGCAUGUUACGGGACUUUACUUUCAGGUGACCUUCUAGUCUACAUAAUAAUGUUUUGUCUGACAGAGGUUGAUCUUAUUAGCGAAGGGACAAAAUGGACCUCUGAACGCACCAGUGGGUGUUAUUGUUAUGCAGUGUUAAUUGAUUUGAGUCAGCUUCCAUUUACAGAAGUGUACGCCUCUGGCUGCUGUUGAAAAUGUUGUAUUUGGGUUCAAAAUAUACUGUGAUACACAGUUCCUUGUCUACCAUUCACUAAAAUAACAGGACAGUGAAAACAAUUUAUCUAUUAGGCUUUUUAACCAUGUCAGUCUAUUUUGGAGUGCCGGCACAGCGGUCAGAACAGUGCCAUGCUGCUUUUGGUGGGGUAGACUGCACUAGCCCACAUAUCUUCACAGUGGGCCCCUUUGGCUCAGUCAACAAGGCCCCAUUCACCACCAUGGGUUUGUAUUAAUCUUCACUAUUUUUUUAUCAAUUUGUAUGCUUUCCCUGUGACAUUGAGGAGUUGUUAGAUACACAAAGAUGGUAUUGUGUUUUUCAUAAUGUAGUAUGUAAACAUAAUUCCCUCCUCCUCUGCGCUCCCUGUGUCUGAGUUUGAAUGAAGACAAUUGUAGAGGAAAGAGUGAGGACAUCUUGGAAGAUGAAAGAUAAAAGAACAUGUCUGGAUAUGUUCGUAUGGAGGAGGAGGCCAAGCAGUUUGUGCGGGAAGCCAUAACAUCUGGCAUCAUGAACCAGCUGGCAUCAUGAACGACCUGGGCUCUGGAAGUAACGUGGACCUGUGUGUCAUCAAACAUGAUGGAACUUUUUGAGACCUCCAGAAGCCAGAGGUGGCCCCCACUACUACUACACUCUUUUCUCACUAUUUAGAUAAAGCAUCCAUAACUGGUUACCAGUUGCUGUAAUUCAAGCACUGCAAAUGGUCAUUAUACACUGAAGAAAAAUAUAAACACAGCAUGUAAAGUGUUGGUCCCAUGUUUCAGGGGCUGAAAUAAAAGAUCCCAGAAAUGUUUGUUACUCGGAUACACUGUCUGAGUCUGUUCAGCCAGUUGGGUUCUCAGUUCAUCGAGCAGACAGAAAUAAAUAUCUCUCCGGGAAGAA
Non-coding RNA from Oncorhynchus mykiss (rainbow trout), 1852 nucleotides. The record is from RefSeq and is a predicted model, not a curated record. Lineage: Eukaryota; Metazoa; Chordata; Actinopteri; Salmoniformes; Salmonidae.